Molecule: ribosomal RNA, 468 nt
Filed under: uncultured bacterium
Lineage: Bacteria
Description: partial 16S ribosomal RNA
Rfam family: Bacterial small subunit ribosomal RNA
Source: RNAcentral
GACGAACGCUGGCGGCGUGCUUAACACAUGCAAGUCGAACGGAAAGGCCCUGCUUUUGUGGGGUGCUCGAGUGGCGAACGGGUGAGUAACACGUGAGUAACCUGCCCUUGACUUUGGGAUAACUUCAGGAAACUGGGGCUAAUACCGGAUAGGAGAUCCUGCUGCAUGGUGGGGGAUGGAAAGUUUCGGCGGUUGGGGAUGGAUUCGCGGGUUAUCAGCUUGUUGGUGGGGUAGUGGCUUACCACGGCUUUGACGGGUAGCCGGCCUGUGAGGGUGACCGGGCCCAUGGGGACUGAGGUAGGGCCCAGACGGCAACGUGAGGCAGCGGUGGAAAAUAUUGCACAAUAGGCCGAAGCCUGAGACAACGACGCCGGGUGCGGGAAGACGGCUUGUGGGGUAAAAACCGCUUUCGCCUGUGACGAAGCGGGAGUGACGGUAAUGAGUAAAAAAGCACCGGCUAACUACGUG